This 837-nucleotide ribosomal RNA is filed under the name uncultured bacterium. RNAcentral describes it as "bacterial SSU rRNA". It matches the Rfam family "Bacterial small subunit ribosomal RNA", at positions 60 to 864 of the family's 1533-position model. The record is from RNAcentral.
AGUCGAGCGAGCUGAACAGCAGAUUCACUUCGGUGAUGACGCUGGGAACGCGAGCGGCGGAUGGGUGAGUAACACGUGGGUAACCUGCCCUAAAGUCUGGGAUACCACUUGGAAACAGGUGCUAAUACCGGAUAACAACAAUAGCUGCAUGGCUAUUGCUUAAAAGGCGGCGAAAGCUGUCGCUAAAGGAUGGACCCGCGGUGCGUUAGCUAGUUGGUAAGGUAAUGGCUUACCAAGGCGACGAUGCAUAGCCGAGUUGAGAGACUGAUCGGCCACAUUGGGACUGAGACACGGCCCAAACUCCUACGGGAGGCAGCAGUAGGGAAUCUUCCACAAUGGGCGAAAGCCUGAUGGAGCAACGCCGCGUGAGUGAAGAAGGUUUUCGGAUCGUAAAGCUCUGUUGUUGGUAAAGAAGGAUAGAGGUAGUAACUGGCCCCUAUUUGACGGUAAUCAACCAGAAAGUCACGGCUAACUACGUGCCAGCAGCCGCGGUAAUACGUAGGUGGCAAGCGUUGUCCGGAUUUAUUGGGCGUAAAGCGAGCGCAGGCGGAAAGAUAAGUCUGAUGUGAAAGCCCCCGGCUUAACCGAGGAAUUGCAUCGGAAACUGUGUUUCUUGAGUGCAGAAGAGGAGAGUGGAACUCCAUGUGUAGCGGUGGAAUGCGUAGAUAUAUGGAAGAACACCAGUGGCGAAGGCGGCUCUCUGGUCUGUAACUGACGCUGAGGCUCGAAAGCAUGGGUAGCGAACAGGAUUAGAUACCCUGGUAGUCCAUGCCGUAAACGAUGAGUGCUAAGUGUUGGGAGGUUUCCGCCUCUCAGUGCUGCAGCUAACGCAUUAAG